This 65-nucleotide transfer RNA is filed under the name Fukomys damarensis (Damara mole-rat). It matches the Rfam family "tRNA". From Rfam's summary of the family: Transfer RNA (tRNA) molecules are approximately 80 nucleotides in length. Their secondary structure includes four short double-helical elements and three loops (D, anti-codon, and T loops). Lineage: Eukaryota; Metazoa; Chordata; Mammalia; Rodentia; Bathyergidae. The record is from Rfam by way of RNAcentral.
UGUGUGGCUUAAAGGUAGAGCACAGGCCUUUCAUGUCUGAGGCCCUGAGUUUCAUCCACAGCACA